This 1093-nucleotide long non-coding RNA is filed under the name Olea europaea subsp. europaea. Lineage: Eukaryota; Viridiplantae; Streptophyta; Magnoliopsida; Lamiales; Oleaceae. The record is from RNAcentral.
GCGGAACUUCAGCACUGGCCACCUUCGGGGCCUCUGGAGCCUCCUCAGUAACCUUAUCAGGCCGACCUCCAGUUGGUCCCCCAAACUCUGCCUCCAGUUGAGAGAUAUCCAGGGUAGGAUGCACCUCCUUCAGUUGACCUAGUAGGCUUUGGGCACUCCACAAGGCCCAGAAGUUGGCAAAAUCGUCGUAAAGGGGAUGUUCUUCGAAGUGAUCAAUAAAAUUCUGGACCGCCACCUCCCCUGCAGACUUUAAUUCCUCCUUCAAAGAGGCGAUCUCCACUGACUGGGUCUCCGUCUGCUGCUUCAGCUCUGCCUUUUCUCUGUUAGAGGCCUCCAGAGCAUCGGUGGCGAGCUUGUGGUGCUCGUUAGUGUGGUCAAGUCUCCGAGUCACUGCAGCCACUUGGCACUCCACUUCGUAGAGCUCUUUUUUCAGCCGCUCCACCUCUGCCUGCGCAGCAGCAAGCUGGACCUCAGCAGCUCUCUUCCCCUCCUCUGCCUUGGUGGCUUUGGCCUAGGUAGCUCGCACAGCGUCCCCAUAAUGCAUCGUCUCCUCGAAGUGCUUGGCGAGGUCCUCCCUCUUGGAGUUUAGAUCCUUCACCAAGCCCUGGAGCUGGAUGCUUGUGCUUAGUGCCCGGGCCACGCAGGCGCUGUUCGUCGCCACCAAGUCUUCGACCGUGCAGGAGGCGGUAUGGUCCCUCCACUCUUCAGUCCAAUAUUUACUGUGGACCAUCGCCACCGCAGCUGUCUCCGGAGAAAGAGCCUCCAACACCUCCCUUACAGGCUCCUCUUGAUUGGUGCCCAAGAAAUCAACCUCUUUGCUGGAGCGGGCCCUUUUUCUCCUCUGCUACCCCAGAACUUGUUCAAUGGGUAUGGCCGCAAGGGGCGCUGUGUCCGGGGCAGCGACAAGCUCUGCCACAGCGGGGCUUCUCUCCAAAAGGGCCAUCCCCGUAGGAAUAGUUGUCUGCCUCAAAACUGGGCGUCUGAGGGGGCAACACUCUUCUUGCCCUUCCUUCGGAGGUCAGCCUCCGGGUCCUCCUGAACCUCCUCCUCCGUCGGAGGCUGAAGCCUCUUACUGGCCUCCACCAGCUCCUCC